This 1346-nucleotide ribosomal RNA is filed under the name uncultured bacterium. Its description in RNAcentral is "partial 16S ribosomal RNA". It matches the Rfam family "Bacterial small subunit ribosomal RNA", at positions 28 to 1381 of the family's 1533-position model. The record is from RNAcentral.
GACGAACGCUGGCGGCGUGCUUAACACAUGCAAGUCGAACGGAAAGGCCCUGCUUUUGUGGGGUGCUCGAGUGGCGAACGGGUGAGUAACACGUGAGUAACCUGCCCUUGACUUUGGGAUAACUUCAGGAAACUGGGGCUAAUACCGGAUAGGAGCUCCUGCUGCAUGGUGGGGGUUGGAAAGUUUCGGCGGUUGGGGAUGGACUCGCGGCUUAUCAGCUUGUUGGUGGGGUAGUGGCUUACCAAGGCUUUGACGGGUAGCCGGCCUGAGAGGGUGACCGGCCACAUUGGGACUGAGAUACGGCCCAGACUCCUACGGGAGGCAGCAGUGGGGAAUAUUGCACAAUGGGCGGAAGCCUGAUGCAGCAACGCCGCGUGCGGGAUGACGGCCUUCGGGUUGUAAACCGCUUUCGCCUGUGACGAAGCGUGAGUGACGGUAAUGGGUAAAGAAGCACCGGCUAACUACGUGCCAGCAGCCGCGGUGAUACGUAGGGUGCGAGCGUUGUCCGGAUUUAUUGGGCGUAAAGGGCUCGUAGGUGGUUGAUCGCGUCGGAAGUGUAAUCUUGGGGCUUAACCCUGAGCGUGCUUUCGAUACGGGUUGACUUGAGGAAGGUAGGGGAGAAUGGAAUUCCUGGUGGAGCGGUGGAAUGCGCAGAUAUCAGGAGGAACACCAGUGGCGAAGGCGGUUCUCUGGGCCUUUCCUGACGCUGAGGAGCGAAAGCGUGGGGAGCGAACAGGCUUAGAUACCCCGGUAGUCCACGCUGUAAACGGUGGGUACUAGGUGUGGGGUCCAUUCCACGGGUUCCGUGCCGUAGCUAACGCUUUAAGUACCCCGCCUGGGGAGUACGGCCGCAAGGCUAAAACUCAAAGGAAUUGACGGGGCCCCGCACAAGCGGCGGAGCAUGCGGAUUAAUUCGAUGCAACGCGUAGAACCUUACCUGGGUUUGACAUGGAUCGGGAGUGCUCAGAGAUGGGUGUGCCUCUUUUGGGGUCGGUUCACAGGUGGUGCAUGGCUGUCGUCAGCUCGUGUCGUGAGAUGUUGGGUUAAGUCCCGCAACGAGCGCAACCCUUGUUCACUGUUGCCAGCACGUUAUGGUGGGGACUCAGUGGAGACCGCCGGGGUCAACUCGGAGGAAGGUGGGGAUGACGUCAAGUCAUCAUGCCCCUUAUGUCCAGGGCUUCACGCAUGCUACAAUGGCUGGUACAGAGAGUGGCGAGCCUGUGAGGGUGAGCGAAUCUCGGAAAGCCGGUCUCAGUUCGGAUUGGGGUCUGCAACUCGACCUCAUGAAGUCGGAGUCGCUAGUAAUCGCAGAUCAGCAACGCUGCGGUGAAUACAUUCCCGGGGCU